This 2068-nucleotide unclassified non-coding RNA is filed under the name Leishmania donovani. RNAcentral describes it as "gene:unknown". The record is from RNAcentral. Lineage: Eukaryota; Euglenozoa; Kinetoplastea; Trypanosomatida; Trypanosomatidae.
AUGAUGCCGCCCACCCAACCGUGGUAUACGGGUCCAAUACCAACUCUAUGUUAAACCCAGGCGCCCGCAGCGAGUACUCGGGCACGGGCGCGUACUCUUCAUCUCCGCGGGGAGGUCUGGGCUGGUGCUGCGCCAGCAAGACUUGCAGCCGUGACCCCGCGUGCACCAGCUCCCUACGGAUCGUGCCAUCGAUUCGACACGCGCACGCAUCCGCCUCCUGUUGUGCUUCCCUUUAGGACGACAAGCUGUGAGCGGCUUGCACGCCGGCACAUGCCCUAUCCACGAGCUGCCUUCCGCCUGACACAUGGUCUCCUGUGAGAGGCGCGUGCACACGGGAGAGCGUGGGGUGCCCCAUGCCUUCACACCGACUCCUUGUGUCGCUCCAUCUGUCGCCGGCGCAUGCGGGCAAGCGAUCCUGGCAACGGCCCCCGCGUGCCUCCCACACGCCACCGGCAACAAGGUUGUGCUGGAAGCAGGCUGCAUGAUCCGAAAGCGCGAGCACGGUGCUUGACGCGCUGUGAAGCACCGCUGGCAGGGUGUGCCCCAUGCCAGCGCGGCAUCCCAGAGGUCAGCAGGGCACGAGCGCCGGCCGACGAGAGGCGCGGAAAAGUGUGUGCCGAUGAGCCCCACAGUGCGUGUGCGCGAAACGUGCCGGAAGCAUGCCAAGAACACCGCGAAUGGCCGCAUGGGCACCCCCCCCCUCCUCCCCAGGCUGCGAUGUGAGGAGUCUCCACACAGACUCAUGGGGCAGCCGCGGGCUGCAGCGACUAAGUGCGGAAGAUGGCAUGCACGCCAGGCGCAGGGUCUCCGUAGGGCGCUGGGCAGGCGCUGGCCAGCCUCCUCCCCCGACCUCAUGCGGGAUGCACCUGGACCACCGCCUACUACACACCGACGUCAGAGGCCACCGCCUCGGCCCUGGAGCAGGACCGUAGACGCGAUGCGCUCAGGUGAAGGCCCGCCGACCACCCCAUGUCCGUCUGGCGCCUCCGGCGCCGCAGGUACCCCGGACGGAGACGUGCAGAGGGAAGAUAAGAGCGCGUAAAGCACGUAGCCGCCGAUUUGGCGGCGGGAUGGUUCGUCCUAGACGCCGAGGGUGUAGCCGUAGCGGGAGCGUGGUGGGUGGGGUGUGGCUGCGUAUGCGCGUGUCUGUCUGGACUUGCUCGUGCUGGGCUGACACGACGACGAAGACAAAAAGAAAGGACGCCCUGAGGCGCUCCUCUUCCUGGCUCUCUCCCUCUCCGUGAAAGAUGAGCGCAUGGACACCGUUUGGCAGAGCGACUCUCUCAUAGCAGUGGUGUCUUUUGCAGACGGAGAAGCGCUUGCGAGGGAGGGCGGAAAGCGAGGAACGUGAGUGCCACGGCCGAGGCUCUGCGUGUUGAGAAGUCGGCGACGUUCUUUGCUGGGGCAUCGACCUGCUCAGGACGACCGCAGCAGCGAGGACGCAGCGCGGGCGAACCGCCGGCCGAUGCUGACGUUUUUUCUUUAGUCUUGCUGCUGUUUUGUCUUGCGCGGCCCUGCCACUGCUCACUCCUGGAGCGUAGAGAACUAGAGGAAGUGAAGGAGAUGGAGCACAUAAAAGGAAACCACGCACAUGCAGCGCUGCAUUGUGGGACUGGAGGGGGCAAGGACGGGCACACAGAGGGAGGGAGAGAGAAGCGUGACAAGGAAUCCCGACGGCGCUGCUGUAAGCAGGCACGUCUCUUCGCUGUAAGAGGGAAGUGAGUGAGGGGCCCCAGCAUUCCCCUCAUUCAAGUGUACAUAGUGUUGUCUCUCUCUCUCUCUCCACCAGGACACACACACACACACACACACACUGUUGCGUUCACCCCUUCAGCUGUGUGCGGGGGAGAGGUGGCUGGGGCGGGCGCGAGGUCUGCGUGAGAUGACGGCGUUUGCCGCUGCUCUCUUGCGUGAGCUUUCGUUGUACAUGCAGUGUCUUUUUCGCGUGCUUCUUGCCCACAUAGCAGCUGCGGCGGACAUGUGCUGUGAUGCACUCAACCUCCUCCCGCUUUCUGGAUCUUGCUAUGCUUGCCCUCACCCCCCCCCAUCAUCUCGCGUGCACACGAAG